RNA transcript from Bombus impatiens (common eastern bumble bee), 1855 nucleotides. It is a transcript of the gene named RNA-binding protein 1, with no coding region annotated. The transcript has 8 exons. NCBI's taxonomy places the organism in Eukaryota, Metazoa, Arthropoda, Insecta, Hymenoptera, Apidae. The record is from RefSeq and is a predicted model, not a curated record.
GCCAUCUUAGAAAGGAGGCCACGGAAGAAGAUUAACGCUACAUACGCCACCAUUUUGUGGACAUUUCUACUUGUGCAGUACGAACGAAGGGUUGUGUGUUACGAGACUACGAAAUCCACCGAACCAACAUAUACAUUCAAACGCAAUGUCACGUUAUCGUGAAUGGGAUCCUUCAUGUAAAGUUUAUGUUGGUAAUUUAGGAAACAGUGCUAGUAAACAUGAAAUUGAAAGUGCAUUCAGUAAAUAUGGUCCACUCAGAAAUGUGUGGGUUGCAAGAAAACCACCUGGUUUUGCAUUUGUGGAAUUUGAAGACCCACGAGAUGCAGAAGAUGCAGUUAGAGGGUUAGAUGGAACACGCUGUUGUGGGACCAGAGUGAGAGUAGAAAUGUCUUCAGGAAGAAGUAGACGUGGAGGUGGAAGGAGAUCAGGUCCAAGAUAUUCCAGGUCCAGAUCUUGCAGUCCUCGAAGGAGAUCACUGGGUCGUUAUCCGAGGUCCUGGUCAAGAAGCCCACGGAGAUCGCCGAUAAGCCGAUAUUCUAGAUUCUACCAGCGUCAGCUCCUAGCUCUGCUCGUCUCCCCGCCACUACUACUACUACUGCUACUACUACUACUACAGCCACCGUGAAAAAAAGUCUAGCAAUCAAAACUGAACAAAAAAAAAGCCUGCCUGCCCACUAACUUCCCAACCAGUCACCAUCAGUCACCACCAGUCACCGGUAGGAGCCAAGUCGUCCGUCAGUUGACAGUCCGAUGCUGUCCGUCAGUCCGUCUGUUCCCCUUCAAAAAGACUUCUUCGGGCUACCUCAACCUCUAGCGGCUAGGAGCAUCGUGAAUCCAUCGAACAGCCGACGCGAUAUGAACGAAUACUUCUGUCAAAAUCUCGGCGCGUCAGUCCGUCCGUCCGUCCCAACUUCUACUACUACUACUACUACUGCUACUACUACUACUCGUCAACCAUCACGUUAAACUUAGCCGACAACGCGACCGCCACUUCUCUUCGACUGAGCAAAGCAAAAUGAUCACCACCUACACACCAUCCCACCACCACCCAACCAAGUACCACCACCACCAACCACCACUACAUGUUCACAGUUGUCUGGUCAAGAUCCCGUAGCCCUCGCAGGAGAUCAUUGAGCCGUAGCCGUAGCCGAGACCGCCGUUCGCGUUCGGAUUCCCGUGACAGACGUUAGGUGCUAAAAGUGUUUGAGAGAACGGAUCGACUAAAUGUGCCGGAUGGAAGAUAAAGAAAACCGAUUUUAUAUGUACAUAAAAAAGAUAAUCGUUACCACGCGUACAUAUUCUGUCGAAGCAAUGAUAAUACGAUUAAAAGACAUUCAUAAGAGAUAUGGAAUAAUACACGUACAUAAUGUUUAGCAUUUAAGUUGUUAACACUUUGUACACGCAUAAAACCUUGCUUAUGUGCGUAAAACUUAGACACAUAUACUCAGGCGUGUGUAGUUGGUUUCACAUGCACGAUACAUUUUCACCGAUGCAUACACAUUAUGUAUAGAAAGGUACUUUACACGCAACAAAAUUAUUUGUGAUGUAAGCUAUCGAGUACGAUAAAUCUCUUACGGAACGUACUCAUUGCUUCAAAGUGUACGGGUGAGACAAAAAGAAUUCGGUUGCAAUUAAGAACAAUUAUAACGAUAAGCAUAACAGUGAGACAUUUUUAUGUGAAGAAGUUCAUGAAGAAAUAGAAGGAACGGCCGUUUUACGUUGUAUUAAUUAUUUUGUACUCUUACGAAUUUAAGACUUUAAAAUAAAAAUGUAUGGUAUAAUUAUUUUGGCUUUCCUAUUGCAAAUAGCAGUUUGAUGUUCAUUAAAAGAAAAUAAUAAAGUAUCGAAGUAAUAG